UGGCAUCCUGCACCUGUAACUCACAGGUGAUGUCAUCACCUGGCAUCCUGCACUUGUAACUCACAGGUGAUGUCAUCAUCUGGCAUCCUGCACCUGUAACUCACAGGUGAUGUCAUCACCUGGGAUCCCGCACCUGUAACUCACAGGUGAUGUCAUCGCCUGGCAUCCUGCACCUGUAACUCACAGGUGAUGUCAUCGCCUGGCAUCCUGCACCUGUAACUCACAGGUGAUGUCAUCACCUGGCAUUACACACUGGGGAUGAAUACUUGAAACAGUGUACUGCAGUGGAUGGAGGCAGGUUUUCUUUGUAACUGGGGACUCUGGGUUUGCAUUCCAAUCAUUUUGCCGACAGCUAGGUAGCAACAUUUAUAUUUAAAAACAAAACAAAAAAAUCUAUAGAGAUGUAUUUUAUAAAUAGGCUUAAGUGUCCCGGCUUGCAUGUGCCUAUCCAAAAUGAUUAUUUUUGUAGAAGUCUAAAUUAACUCUAUUUAUAAUGAAUAGGUCACCAUCCACUGUGUACAUAGAACAUAUAAAUAUGUUUAUAUUCUGUGCAUAUGUGUAGGCUACCAGAUAUCCCUGGACUUCUUAAGCCAAGAUAAGAGUUUUUUUUUCCUUUUUGAUUUCUCUUUAUACUAAAGAACCCAGAAUUGCCACAACAAGCUAGGAAGCAUAACAAACUCAAGAGAAAAUCAGGAUGAUUUUCUGUUCCUAUAUACAUUUCUACUCUCUUGCGACGGCGUAGGACCAGACAAGUGAGGAAGAGGGUUGGUGAGAAGGUGAAUCUAUUUGGUAUGGAAGGCAUGCUACCAGGUCUACCCACCUCACAGGCCCGGAGGGCACACCACCGGUUCUACCCACCUCACACUAAAGCACAAUGGCAGUGUCCCUCUCUCCCGAACAAAUUAUGUCAGGUUAAUCUGAGAAUUCUACGUUUAGAAGCUGAAAUCAAUAAAAUCAUGGCAGAUUGC
RNAcentral lists this long non-coding RNA (968 nucleotides) under Rattus norvegicus (Norway rat). RNAcentral's name for it is "long non-coding RNA NONRATT014419". Lineage: Eukaryota; Metazoa; Chordata; Mammalia; Rodentia; Muridae. The record is from RNAcentral.